UCUCUUCUUUUCUCCAAACUGAAGACCCAGAGGGAGCCUGAUAUCGUAGAUUAGAAAGACAACCUUAGAACCAAAAAGAAUGUUUGUUUAAAAUUAGGAUCAAGAGUAGCAUCUACUUCCCGUAUCCUGGUAGAAGAAGACUUGGAACAGGACUGGAUCUGGGAAAGGAAGUGCUGACAUCUGCUUCCCCAUGACUGGACCACCCAUGAUCUCUGCUCCUGCUUCAGUGAUUGGGAUCCUCUUACUCUUUGGAGGCACAUAUGGAGAUUCAGUGACCCAGCCAGAAGGACACAUCACCCUCCCUGAGGGAGCUCUACUCACACUGAACUGUUCCUAUCAAGCUAGUGUAACACCUUAUCUCUUCUGGUAUGUCCAGUAUCCCAAUGAAGCUCCCAAGCUCCUCCUGAGAGAGACAUCAGGAAAAGACCAGGAGAAAGACAACAAUGGAUUUUGGGCCAAAAAUAUUAAGGAAAAAUCUUUCUUCUACCUGGAGAAAACUUCAGUCCAAAUGGGAGAUUCUGCUGUGUACUAUUGUGCUCUGACUGGAGAAGUAAUUGGCAAACCACUCUGGUAUCUCUGA
Non-coding RNA from Phascolarctos cinereus (koala), 580 nucleotides. NCBI's taxonomy places the organism in Eukaryota, Metazoa, Chordata, Mammalia, Diprotodontia, Phascolarctidae. The record is from the annotation of a RefSeq genome assembly.